CGUCAGUUUCGUACUGUGAAGCAUCCUGUUAAGUCAGGCAACGAGCGAGACCCACGCCCACAGUUUGCCAGCGUACUCUCUGGAGUGACGGGUACACUGUGGGGACCGCCGCUGCUAAAGCGGAGGAGGGAAUGGGCAACGGUAGGUCAGUAUGCCCCGAAUAUCCCGGGCUACACGCGAGCUACAAUGGUUGGUACAAUGGGUAUCUACCCGAAAGGGGACGGGAAUCUCCUAAAACCAACCUUAGUUCGGAUUGAGGGCUGCAACUCGCCCUCAUGAAGCUGGAAUCCGUAGUAAUCGCGUUUCAACAGAACGCGGUGAAUACGUCCCUGCUCCUU
Molecule: ribosomal RNA, 338 nt
Filed under: uncultured Methanosaeta sp.
Lineage: Archaea; Methanobacteriati; Methanobacteriota; Methanomicrobia; Methanotrichales; Methanotrichaceae
Description: bacterial SSU rRNA
Rfam family: Archaeal small subunit ribosomal RNA
Source: RNAcentral